UAAGCAUAUCAAUAAGCGGAGGAAAAGAAACCAACAGGGAUUGCCCUAGUAACGGCGAGUGAAGCGGCAACAGCUCAAAUUUGAAAUCUGGCCCCCGGGUCCGAGUUGUAAUUUGUAGAGGAUGCUUUUGGUGCGGUACCUUCCGAGUUCCCUGGAACGGGACGCCAUAGAGGGUGAGAGCCCCGUCUGGUUGGACGCCAAUCCUUUGUAAAGCUCCUUCAACGAGUCGAGUAGUUUGGGAAUGCUGCUCUAAAUGGGAGGUAUAUGUCUUCUAAAGCUAAAUAUUGGCCAGAGACCGAUAGCGCACAAGUAGAGUGAUCGAAAGAUGAAAAGCACUUUGAAAAGAGAGUUAAAAAGUACGUGAAAUUGUUGAAAGGGAAGCGCUCAUGACCAGACUUGGGCUUGGUUGAUCAUCCAGGGUUCUCCCUGGUGCACUCUUCCGGCCCAGGCCAGCAUCAGUUCGCUGUGGGGGAUAAAGGCUUCGGGAAUGUGGCUCCCUCGGGAGUGUUAUAGCCCGUUGUGUAAUACCCUGUGGUGGACUGAGGUUCGCGCAUUCGCAAGGAUGCUGGCGUAAUGGUCAUCAGCGACCCGUCUUGAAACACGGACCAAGGAGUCGUCUUCGUAUGCGAGUGUUCGGGUGUCAAACCCCUACGCGUAAUGAAAGUGAACGCAGGUGAGAGCUUCGGCGCAUCAUCGACCGAUCCUGAUGUUCUCGGAUGGAUUUGAGUAAGAGCAUACGGGGCCGGACCCGAAAGAAGGUGAACUAUGCCUGUAUAGGGUGAAGCCAGAGGAAACUCUGGUGGAGGCUCGCAGCGGUUCUGACGUGCAAAUCGAUCGUCAAAUAUGGGCAUGGGGGGCGAAAGACUAAUCGAACCUUCUAGUAGCUGGUUUCCGCCGAA
This 899-nucleotide ribosomal RNA is filed under the name Neonectria shennongjiana. RNAcentral describes it as "LSU rRNA". It matches the Rfam family "Eukaryotic large subunit ribosomal RNA", at positions 35 to 965 of the family's 3401-position model. Lineage: Eukaryota; Fungi; Ascomycota; Sordariomycetes; Hypocreales; Nectriaceae. The record is from RNAcentral.